CCUACGGGAGGCAGCAGUGGGGAAUAUUGGACAAUGGGCGAAAGCCUGAUCCAGCAAUGCCGCGUGAGUGAUGAAGGCCUUAGGGUUGUAAAGCUCUUUUACCAGGGAUGAUAAUGACAGUACCUGGAGAAUAAGCUCCGGCUAACUCCGUGCCAGCAGCCGCGGUAAUACGGAGGGAGCUAGCGUUGUUCGGAAUUACUGGGCGUAAAGCGUACGUAGGCGGUUAUUCAAGUCAGAGGUGAAAGCCUGGAGCUCAACUCCAGAACUGCCUUUGAAACUAGAUAGCUAGAAUCUUGGAGAGGUGAGUGGAAUUCCGAGUGUAGAGGUGAAAUUCGUAGAUAUUCGGAAGAACACCAGUGGCGAAGGCGACUCACUGGACAAGUAUUGACGCUGAGGUACGAAAGCGUGGGGAGCAAACAGGAUUAGAUACCCUGGUAGUCCACGCCGUAAACGAUAGAUAACUAGCUGUUCGGGCUCUACGAGCUUGAGUGGCGCAGCUAACGCAUUAAGUUAUCCGCCUGGGGAGUACGGUCGCAAGAUUAAAACUCAAAGGAAUUGACGG
This 562-nucleotide ribosomal RNA is filed under the name uncultured bacterium. RNAcentral describes it as "bacterial SSU rRNA". It matches the Rfam family "Bacterial small subunit ribosomal RNA", at positions 338 to 916 of the family's 1533-position model. The record is from RNAcentral.